GCCCGAGUGGUGAAAUGGUAGACACACAGGACUUAAAAUCCUGAGGACAAUUUUGUCCGUGCCGGUUCAAGUCCGGCCUCGGGCACCA
Molecule: transfer RNA, 88 nt
Filed under: Helicobacteraceae bacterium
Lineage: Bacteria; Pseudomonadati; Campylobacterota; Epsilonproteobacteria; Campylobacterales; Helicobacteraceae
Description: tRNA-Leu
Rfam family: tRNA
About the family: Transfer RNA (tRNA) molecules are approximately 80 nucleotides in length. Their secondary structure includes four short double-helical elements and three loops (D, anti-codon, and T loops).
Source: RNAcentral